CCUUUGCCCAGCACACCUGUCACUCACCUCAACCCUUUCUCUCUUUUCCCCAUCUUUCUGUGGCUAGCUCCUCCUCAUUCUUUAGGUCUCAGUGUAGAUAGCACCACUAUCAGGAAGGAGUCCAGACACUGCCAGGCCUAAGGCUUCCAGAUACAGCCCUCUAGGUCAUCCAGAGGUGCCAGCCAGCCCUCACCAGUGGUCAGCUUUUCCUCAGUGGAGUGGUCAGCAGUCCAACUACCAGGGCCAGAGCCCCAUCAAAGAAUCUUCAGUGCCAGCCAGAAAGAAUGAUGAACUCCUCGUGUAAAGGGAGUUUGGGGCAACCAGUCAAACCAUGGCCUCAUGGGAAGCAGCUGACUAGGCAAUGAGAGAGGAAUACAAAAGACAAGGCACUGCGAAGCCAAGUCUGGUUGGGGAGAAGAAACCAAUAUGCCUGAAACAGGGAACCAGAAAGGACUCAGACAAAACUGCUGACAAGUAUGGGGUUUCUUGGGGUAGGUGGUGAAAAUAUUCCAAAAUAAGAUUAUAGCGAUGUUUUAAUAAUCCCCUGGAUAUAAUAAAAAAACAUCGAAUUGUACACU
RNAcentral lists this long non-coding RNA (578 nucleotides) under Homo sapiens (human). Its description in RNAcentral is "HSALNT0296064". The record is from RNAcentral. Lineage: Eukaryota; Metazoa; Chordata; Mammalia; Primates; Hominidae.